UCGGUAUUCCUCUGAAAUUGCCGUCCAGUCCAGACGUGAAAGCUAAAAUUCCUCCGUCCGGUUGUCUCUCUCUCGGCGAAACCCAAACCCUAACCGUAACUGAGAGAGAGAGAGAGAGAGAGAGAGAGAGUAUGGAUCAGUCAUUCUUGCUAAUGCUGUCGAAUCUGCUGCAGCUCCAUAACCACCUAGACCCAACCUCCUCCCUGCUCUCCGACACCUACUCGCCGCCAGCAUCCACCAUGUCUUCCGCCUCCUCCCCCACCUCUCUCCUCGCCUCCAGCACCGCCGCCCCCCUCCUCUUCUUCACCAUCGCCUCCGUCCUCUCCUACCUCGCCACCACCGCCUCCUCCCGCCCUUCCUCCUCUCCCUCCUCCCUUCCCGCCGCCGCCGCCUCCGACCCUAACUCUGAAUUCUCCGUCGCCGCCUUCCGCGCCCUCUCCACCGAGCACAUCUGGGCCAUGGAAGCCCCUCUCCGCGACGCCCAGUGGCGGUCCUCCUACGGCCUCUCCUACCCCGUCUUCACCACCGUCGUCGACAAGCUCAAACCCUACAUAGCCCAAUCCAACCUCUCCCUCCCCUCCGAUUACGCCGUCGCCAUGGUCCUCUCCCGCCUCACCCACGGCCUCUCCGCCCAAACCCUAGCCUCCCGCUACUCGCUCGACCCCUACCUCAUCUCGAAGAUCACCAACAUGGUCACUCGCCUCCUCGCCACCAAGCUCUACCCCGAAUUCAUCAAAAUUCCCGUCGGUCAGCGCCGCCUCCUCGACUCCACUCGCGCCUUCGAGGAGCUCACCUCGCUCCCCAACCUAUGCGGCGCCAUUGACGCCACUGCCCUAAAGCUCCGCCGAAUCCCCUCCGACCAAAACCCCGCCGCCUAUCUCUGCCGCCACGGGUACCCCGCGGUUCUUCUUCAGGUCGUCGCCGAUCACAAAAAGGUUUUCUGGGACGUCUGUGUUAAGGCUCCGGGCGGGUCCGACGACGCCGCCCAUUUGAGAGACAGUACCCUAUACGAUCGGCUUAUUUCGGAAGACAUUGUUUGGGACAGGGUUAUGAAUGUGAGGGGGCAUCCAGUGAGACCUUAUAUAGUUGGGGAUUGGUGUUUCCCUUUACUGUCCUUCUUGAUCACUCCUUUCACUUGGAACGGCACUGGCACGCCGGCACAGAAUGAAUUUGAUAUUGCCUUGAUGAAGGGGAGGAAGGUGGUGGAAGAAGCCAUUGGCUUGCUUAAGGGGAGGUGGAAGAUUCUUCAAGACUUGAAUGUGGGCCUGAACCAUGCCCCUCAGACCAUUGUUGCUUGCUGCGUUUUGCAUAAUCUGUGUCAGAUUGCUAGGGAGCCCGAGCCGGAGCUCUGGAAGGAGCCCGAGGAGUGCGGGCCGCCACCGAGACUGCUUGAGAGUGAGAAGUCAUCUUGUUACCAUGGAGAGAGCAUGAGGCAGGCCUUGGCUGAUGAUUUAUAUCAAAGACUCCCCAGAUAAGAGAACUGACUACUUGCAGGACAACAACUUUAUUUUCUCCUCAUUGCCAGGCUAUGCGCAGGACAAUAGGCCUUUUGUUUUUCCCUCGUUGCCAAGCUAUGCACGGGGCAACCGGCUUCGUUUUCUCUUCAUUACAGGACCAUGUGCGGGGCAACAAGUUUGUUUUCUCUUUGUUAUCGGGCCAUGUGCGGGGCAAUGAGCUUUGUUUUCUCUUCGUUACCGGGCCAUGUGCGGGGCAACGUUCGUGUGUAUAUGCUUGCUGGAAUUGUGGGCAACGUCUGUAAUUUGAAAGAAUAUCAAUAUUUUAUUUCCACAAUUCGACAUGGCGCCUACGUUCGCAAUUUGAAAGAAUAUCAAUAGUUUGUUUUCGCGGUUUGGCGUAACGCCUAUGUUCGCAAUUUGAAAGAAUAUCAAUAUUUUGUUUUCGUGGUUCGGCAUAACGCCUACGUUCGUAAUUAAAUAAUAACAAUAUUUUAUUUUUACGGUUCGGCGUGACGCCUACGUUGCAAUUAAACAAUAUUUUAUUUUCGCAGUUCGACAUAAUGCCUACGUUCACAAUUAAAGAAUAAUAAUAUUUUUUUUUCGCGAUUUGACAUAACGUCUACGUUCGCAAUUAAAGAAUACUAAUAUUUUGUUUUCGCGGUUCGGCGUAAUGCCUAUGUCUGCAAUUAAAGAAUAACAAUAUUUUAUUUUCGCAGUUUGGCGUAACGCCUACAUCCGCAAUUAAAGAAUAAUAUUUUAUUUUUGUAGUUUGGCAUAACGCCUGCAUCCGCAAUCAGAGAGAGUAUUUUAUUUUUGUGGUUCGACAUAAUGCCUACGUUCGCAAUUAAAGAAUAAUAAUAUUUUGUUUUUGUAGUUCGGCAUAACGCUUACAUUUGCAAUCAGAGAGAGUAUUUUAUUUUCGUGGUUCGGCGUAACGCCUAUGUCUGCAAUUAAAGAAUAAUAUUUUAUUUUUGCGGUUUGGCAUAACACUUACAUCCGCAAUCAAAGAGAGUAUUUUAUUUUUGCGGUUUGGCAUAACGCCUACGUCUGUAAUUAAAGAAUAAUAAUAUUUUAUUUUCGAAGAUCACCAACAUGGUCACUCGCCUCCUUGCCACCAAGCUCUACCUCGAAUUCAUCAAAAUUCUCGUCGGUCAGCACUGCCUCCUCGAAUCCACUUGUGCCUUCGAGGAGCUCACCUCGCUCCCCAACCCAUGCGGCACCAUUGACGCCAUUGCCCUAAAGCUCCGUUGACUCCUCUCCGACCAAAACCCUGUCGCCUAUCUCUGCCGCCACGGGUACCCCGCGGUUCUUCUUCAGGUCGUCGCCGAUCACAAGAAGGUUUUCUGGGAUGUCUGUGUUAAGGCUCUGGGCGAGUCCGCCGCCACCGCCCAUUUGAGAGAUAGUACCCUAUACAAUCGGCUUAUUUCAGAAAACAUUGUUUGGGACAAGGUUAUGAAUGUGAGGGGGCGUCCAGUGAGGCCUUAUAUAGUUGGGGAUUGGUGUUUCCCUUUACUGUCCUUCUUGAUCACUCCUUUCACUUGGAACAGCACUGGCACGCCAGCACAGAAUGAAUUUGAUAUUGCAUUGAUGAAGGGAAGGUGGUGGAAGAAGCCAUUGGCUUGCUUAAGGGGAGGUGGAAGAUUCUUCAAGACUUGAAUGUGGGCCUGAACCAUGCCCCUCAGACCAUUGUUGGUUGCUGUGUUUUGCAUAAUCUGUGUCAGAUUGCUAGGGAGCCCGAGCCGGAGCUCUGGAAGGAGCCGGAGGAGUGCGGGCUGCCACCGAGACUGCUUGAGAGUGAGAAGUCAUCUUGUUACCUGUCACGAGAACAGAAAAGCUAUGGUUGUGGUGAAAAUUUUGAGCUAAGGAUCGGUUAUUUCCUAUAUGUAAUUCCUAGUAUUUUAUUUCGUUGCAUUUGUUUACUUUCCGGCUAGAUAGUUUGUUAUGGUUUACUUUCCAGCUAGGAAGGUUGUUAUGGCAGAAUCUGCCAGAUGUCUAAUAGGACAAAAAGGUUUGUUAGAGGGGGAGUGAUCCUGUGUGGCAGCACUCUCGGCUAGGCUAUAUAAGCCUAUCCUUUCUUCUGUAACGGCAUUAAAGAAUUCAAUCAAAGAAUCUGUUAUCCUCUCUCGUACUUCUCUUUCUCCCUUCACUUCUCGUCUACAUUUCCCUCCUCUUUCUUCCUCUCUAUUAGUCGCGGCCUAGGUUCACACUGAACCAAGGAAGCUGCCGGUUGUCACAGCAGUGCCGUGACAUUACCAUGGAGAGAGCAUGAGGCAGGCCUUGGCUGAUGAUUUAUAUCAAAGACUCCCCAGAUAAGAGAACUGUUUUGUCUCCUUUAGAGAUCUUGUCGUAAAGCAGCAGCACAGGCUGGGAGGCAGGUUACUACACAUAACUGUUCUGUUUGUUGGUAGCUUUUUUGACAGUCCACUAGCAAUGUAGACGGUGUCUUCACCUGGCUUCUAUCUUGAAUAGAUAAGCAGAGACUGGAAUGUGUCUUAUAUCAGAAAUAGACUGUAUGUACCCCUGAACUGGUAUUGAACUAUACUGUUAAUGAUUUUUGAGCC
Diospyros lotus (date-plum) is the source of this 4018-nucleotide RNA transcript. It is a transcript of the gene named protein ALP1-like, with no coding region annotated. The record is from RefSeq and is a predicted model, not a curated record. Lineage: Eukaryota; Viridiplantae; Streptophyta; Magnoliopsida; Ericales; Ebenaceae. The transcript is spliced from 3 exons.